RNAcentral lists this long non-coding RNA (838 nucleotides) under Homo sapiens (human). RNAcentral's name for it is "HSALNT0399478". Lineage: Eukaryota; Metazoa; Chordata; Mammalia; Primates; Hominidae. The record is from RNAcentral.
UUGAUUUUGUUUGUUCCUUUGAUUCAGCAUCACAGGGGAAAAGAACCUUGCUUGGUUUCCUAUGUAUCUUUUCUGGUUAGAUCAUCUGUCUUUAACGCUGAUUUAUUUUCCAUUACAGUCAACAUCCUGAGUCUGUUUCUAACAGUGGAAUCUUCAUAUUGAUAGAGUCUUUCAUGGGGUUGUGAAAGACGAAAGAAGAAAUCAUCUGAAAUGGAUCUGAAGAGUUCUCAGAGGAAGUGACUCAUGUUGAAGAGGAAGUGACAAAGCAGGUGGUAGUGGCGGGGAAAGAUGAAGGAGAGAACUACAACGGUAUUCCUAAGUGACGUCCAAUAGCCUAAAUUUAUCACAGUUCCAUCAGAACACCCAACUCAUUCACUGAGAGGGAUUUUAUCCAAGUGUCUGCCUACAUUUAACCCAGUUAAGACAAUUCACAUUCAAGUGUGAUCAAUAACAAAUCCAUCUAAGCUUGACCUUCUUUUCAAAGUAGGAGAUUAUUAACCAGCAAAAGUUUCAAGCUGAGUAAAUUUGGAGUAUGAUGUAGAAGGAGAACACAUAAGGCAACUUCACAGGAAGAUGUUUGAUCAUUUAGUAUCUACUGCAUUUAAAAAUAAGAUCAUUAUUUUUUAAGACAAGAACAUUAUCAACAAGAUCAAUUCUAGGCUGGUCUAAAGCAAUGAUCUCACGGUAGCUGUAAAAUAGUUGGCUGUGUCCUAUCUACUCUAGGGUCAGUUUGUGUGUCUGUGAAAUAAGGGGGCUGGACCAGGAUAGGGACAAACAUGAGCUGUGAAAAAUCAGAAAGCUAUCAUCGUGUUAUUCCUUUUCAAAUAUGACAGUAAGC